Molecule: ribosomal RNA, 2324 nt
Filed under: Ligilactobacillus salivarius
Lineage: Bacteria; Bacillati; Bacillota; Bacilli; Lactobacillales; Lactobacillaceae
Description: partial 23S ribosomal RNA
Rfam family: Bacterial large subunit ribosomal RNA
Source: RNAcentral
UUAGGUUAAGUUAUUAAGGGCGUAUGGUGGAUGCCUUGGCACUAGGAGCCGAUGAAGGACGUGACUAACUGCGAUAUGCUUCGGGGAGUUGUAAGUAAACUAUGAUCCGGAGAUUUCCGAAUGGGGAAACCUAACAGGUUUUACCGCCUGUUAUCACUAAGUGAAUUCAUAGCUUAGUUGAAGGUAGACGUGGGGAACUGAAACAUCUAAGUACCCACAGGAAGAGAAAGAAAUUCGAUUCCCUCAGUAGCGGCGAGCGAACCGGGAAGAGCCCAAACUAAGAAGCUUGCUUCUUAGGGUUGUAGGACUGAACAUUUGAGUUACCAAGAAACGAAGUAGUUGAAUAAUCUGGGAAGAUUAGCCAAAGAGAGUGAUAGCCUCGUAAGCGAAACUUCGUUUCCUCAGUUCAGGAUCCUGAGUACGGCGGAACACGUGAAACUCCGUCGGAAUCCGGGAGGACCAUCUCCCAAGGCUAAAUACUACCUAGUGACCGAUAGUGAACCAGUACCGUGAGGGAAAGGUGAAAAGCACCCCGGGAGGGGAGUGAAAUAGUUCCUGAAACCAUAUGCCUACAAGUAGUCAGAGCUCGUUAAUGAGUGAUGGCGUGCCUUUUGUAGAAUGAACCGGCGAGUUACGUUAGCGUGCGAGGUUAAGGAGGAAAGUCCGGAGCCGUAGCGAAAGCGAGUCUGAAUAGGGCGAGAUAGUACGUUGACGUAGACCCGAAACCAGGUGACCUACCCAUGUCCAGGUUGAAGGUGCGGUAAAACGCACUGGAGGACCGAACCCGUGUAUGUUGAAAAAUGCUGGGAUGAGGUGUGGGUAGAGGUGAAAUUCCAAACGAACUUGGAGAUAGCUGGUUCUCUCCGAAAUAGCUUUAGGGCUAGCCUCGGAGUUAAGAAUCGUGGAGGUAGAGCACUGUUUGGACUAGGGGCCCGUCUUGGGUUACUGAAUUCAGAUAAACUCCGAAUGCCACAGAUUUAUAUCCGGGAGUCAGACUGCGAGUGAUAAGAUCCGUAGUCGAAAGGGAAACAGCCCAGACCACCGAUUAAGGUCCCAAAAUAUGUGUUAAGUGGAAAAGGAUGUGGAAUUGCAUAGACAACUAGGAUGUUGGCUUAGAAGCAGCCACCAUUUAAAGAGUGCGUAAUAGCUCACUAGUCGAGUGAUCCUGCGCCGAAAAUGUAACGGGGCUAAACACAUUACCGAAAUCGUGGAUGUACCGUAAGGUACAUGGUAGGAGAGCGUUCUAAGGACGGCGAAGCUAGACCGUAAGGACUGGUGGAGUGCUUAGAAGUGAGAAUGCCGGUAUGAGUAGCGAAAGAUCAGUGAGAAUCUGGUCCACCGUAUGACUAAGGUUUCCUGGGGAAGGCUCGUCCUCCCAGGGUUAGUCGGGACCUAAGCCGAGGCCGAGAGGCGUAGGCGAUGGAUAACAGGUUGAGAUUCCUGUACUGGUUAAACUUGUUUGAACAAUGGAGGGACGCAGGAGGCUAUCGAUGCGUACUGUUGGAUAUGUACGUUCAAGCAACAAGUCUGUAGAUGAGUCAAAUGCUUAUCUACUUAAGGACAAGUUGUGAUGAGGAGCGAAAUUUAGUAGCGAAGUGAGAGACGUCACACUGCCAAGAAAAGCUUCUAGUUAGAGUUUAAUCACCCGUACCGCAAACCGACACAGGUAGUCGAGGCGAGUAGCCUAAGGUGAGCGAGAGAACUCUCGUUAAGGAACUCGGCAAAAUGACCCCGUAACUUCGGGAGAAGGGGUGCUGAGCGCAAGCUCAGCCGCAGUGAAUAGGCCCAGGCGACUGUUUAUCAAAAACACAGGUUUCUGCAAAAUCGUAAGAUGAAGUAUAGGGGCUGACGCCUGCCCGGUGCUGGAAGGUUAAGAGGAUGGGUUAGCGUAAGCGAAGCUCAGAAUUGAAGCCCCAGUAAACGGCGGCCGUAACUAUAACGGUCCUAAGGUAGCGAAAUUCCUUGUCGGGUAAGUUCCGACCCGCACGAAAGGCGUAACGAUCUGGGCACUGUCUCAACGAGAGACUCGGUGAAAUUAUAAUACCCGUGAAGAUGCGGGUUACCCGCGACAGGACGGAAAGACCCCAUGGAGCUUUACUGUAGCUUGAUAUUGGGUGUUUGUACAACUUGUACAGGAUAGGUAGGAGCCGUAGAAGUCGGAACGCUAGUUUCGAUGGAGGCAUUGGUGGGAUACUACCCUCGUUGUAUGAACACUCUAACCCUCGCCGGCAAUCACGGCGGGAGACAGUGUCAGGUGGGCAGUUUGACUGGGGCGGUCGCCUCCUAAAAGGUAACGGAGGCGCCCAAAGGUUCCUUCAGAAUGG